This 403-nucleotide ribosomal RNA is filed under the name uncultured bacterium. RNAcentral's name for it is "partial 16S ribosomal RNA". It matches the Rfam family "Bacterial small subunit ribosomal RNA", at positions 30 to 526 of the family's 1533-position model. The record is from RNAcentral.
AUUGAACGCUGGCGGCAUGCCUAACACAUGCAAGUCGAGCGAGCGGCGGACGGGUGAGGAAUGUAUGGGGACUGCCCGUUAGAGGGGGAUCACUACUGGAAACGGUAGCUAAUACCGCAUACUAUCGGAUAACCCAUAUGGGAUUAGCUAGUGGGUGAGGUAAUGGCUCACCUAGGCGACGAGCCCUAGCUGGUCUGAGAGGAUGAUCAGCCAAACUGGGACUGAGACACGGCCCAGACUCCUACGGAGGCAGCAGUGGGGAAUAUUGGACAAUGGGCGAAAGCCUGAUGGAGCCAUGCCGCGUGAAUGAAGAAGGCUCUAGGGUUGUAAAGUACUGUUAGUCGGGAGGCGUUACCGACAGAAGAAGCACCGGCUAACUCCGUGCCAGCAGCCGCGGUAAUUC